RNAcentral lists this transfer RNA (75 nucleotides) under Bacillota bacterium. Its description in RNAcentral is "tRNA-Gly". It matches the Rfam family "tRNA". From Rfam's summary of the family: Transfer RNA (tRNA) molecules are approximately 80 nucleotides in length. RNAcentral also lists the same sequence under 1 other name. Lineage: Bacteria; Bacillati; Bacillota. The record is from RNAcentral.
GCGGAAGUAGCUCAGUGGUAGAGCAUCGCCUUGCCAUGGCGAGGGUCGCGGGUUCGAAUCCCGUCUUCCGCUCCA